CCCGUUUGAUUGUGGACUAUUACUGACACCUUGUGGUGGUGGGAAAUGCUGCGCGUCAAUAGUUUGGCACUUCCGGUUUAGUUUGGACACUUCCGGUUUACGAUGUUAGUUCAGUUCAUAAAAAAUGAGAAGUAGACGAGUUGUGUUAACUCUUACAAGCCUUGGAAAAGAUACGUCUUUUUACAAGAAGAAUAAUAAUAAAAACUAAAAAUCCAGUGCAAGACAAAGCAAGAUCAACAACAAUAAAGAGCCUAAAUGGAUUCAUCUGCUUUGGAACUUUAUUAGAAUGUCCUGGAUUGGUUGUUAGCUGUCUGCCAAGCUUUAUAACCUCAACACAUUCAGUGAGGGCAGAACAGACAUCAUGCACAAAAGUGCACUGAUAGCUUGUUUUAAAAUGUCUCUGACAAAUCUUGCACUUUGUUUUGAAAUUACAUGAAUGUUUGUGCCACUGCUUAAUAAUUGUUUAAUAAAUACACUUGUGGUAAAUUGA
Long non-coding RNA from Nerophis ophidion (straightnose pipefish), 490 nucleotides. RefSeq lists it as uncharacterized. The record is from RefSeq and is a predicted model, not a curated record. The transcript has 2 exons. NCBI's taxonomy places the organism in Eukaryota, Metazoa, Chordata, Actinopteri, Syngnathiformes, Syngnathidae.